CCUACGGUGCGCUGCAGUGAGGAAUAUUGGUCAAUGGCCGAGAGGCUGAACCAGCCAAGUCGCGUGAGGGAAGACGGCCCUACGGGUUGUAAACCUCUUUUGUCGGGGAGCAAAGCGAGUCACGUGUGACUCAUGGAGAGUACCCGAAGAAAAAGCAUCGGCUAACUCCGUGCCAGCAGCCACGGUAAUACGGAGGAUGCGAGCGGUAUCCGGAUUUAUUGGGUUUAAAGGGUGCGCAGGAGGAGGUGCAAGUCAGCGGUCAAAUUGCGGGGCUCAACCCCGUACUGCCGUUGAAACUGCAUCCCUUGAGUGCGCGAGAAGUAUGCGGAAUGCGUGGUGUAGCGGUGAAAUGCAUAGAUAUCACGCAGAACUCCGAUUGCGAAGGCAGCAUACCGGCGCGCAACUGACGCUCAUGCACGAAAGCGUGGGUAUCGAACAGGAUUAGAUACCCGUGUAGUC
Molecule: ribosomal RNA, 459 nt
Filed under: uncultured bacterium
Lineage: Bacteria
Description: partial 16S ribosomal RNA
Rfam family: Bacterial small subunit ribosomal RNA
Source: RNAcentral